Helianthus annuus (common sunflower) is the source of this 1060-nucleotide long non-coding RNA. RefSeq lists it as uncharacterized. Lineage: Eukaryota; Viridiplantae; Streptophyta; Magnoliopsida; Asterales; Asteraceae. The transcript has 3 exons. The record is from RefSeq and is a predicted model, not a curated record.
UGCACCAGCUUUUGAGUCAUUUUGUCCUUAUUGGCUAUUCUAGGUGGUGGAUGAUUCAUCAGCAGCUAAACAUGCGUCAGCCUCUCUGUUUAACCAACAAAAGUGCAUCCUUUUUCACACCAGGUUUUCAUUUUCUUUCUUUAUCUCACACACCAGAAUUCUUCCUACCUCCAUUCAUUCACUAGAGAUGCAAAACAGACGGAGUAGAUCGACCAUAAACUCUAGCCACCAAACACCAUAGUAGCUUCCGUCCCUAUGCAGCCGAAAUUAACAGUUCAAUUCAUGACUCAUUUCGCCGUCGCCAAAGAAUCAAAUCUUCAAUAGAGGUAUUAUUGGCCCUAUAUGGUUACUUAAUCUGCACCGAUUAGCAAUGGCGGAGCCGACACGGUGGAGGUGUUUCAACAUUGAAAAAAAGUUUGAACCUUUGCUAAUUGGGGAUUUCAAUUUGGCUUUUUUUUCAAUAUAAUUUCAUAUUAAUGAUUAAUUAUUUGUUUUGGGUUGACCCUUUUAGUUCUUGCUAGGUUGAAGGAGGAGAGAUGAUGUAAAAGCCAUAGUUUUGACUAUGUCUAAUGACAGUUGAGACGGUGGGCAAAGGUCGUACGAUUGCACUUUUGGAAUUUAAUUUCCUAACUUUGUUCAAAAGGAAGUGAUGUGUUUCAGCUUUGGGUGGGUGGGGGUCAAAAUCAUUAGAAAAGCUACUUUACAAUAGAAAUACUAGUGUUGACUCUAAUCAGCCAAGUAAUGGCUUUCGAAUUCGAUUUUUGGACUACUAAAGAAGAUAGCCCUUGCAUGAUAUCCACCUUUGUGCGGAGAAAAGAUGUGGUUGGUUACCUGGUUGUGCUCGAGCACAAAUUCAUGAUUUGCGGCGACAGCCUUACAUGAUAUCAUCCGCGUUUGUGCAAUCAAACACUGGUGCAAUCAAACACGCUUGGUAUGCGCCUGUAGAAUCAUCGCCUUUUCAUCAUCUAUUCAUAAAGUAUGCUUAUAUGUUUGAUUGAUUAGAACUGAUACUGAUUUUGUAAUUGCUCUUGAUUAAUCUUGAUACUAAGUUUGUCUGGUU